Molecule: long non-coding RNA, 257 nt
Organism: Thunnus maccoyii (southern bluefin tuna)
Lineage: Eukaryota; Metazoa; Chordata; Actinopteri; Scombriformes; Scombridae
Exons: 3
Source: RefSeq, a predicted model, not a curated record
CUAAAAGACCCUUUAAGGAAUUGGACGUUCAGUUUUUCUGGGUAGAUCUGGACAUGCUGGAUCCAGAUGUCCUUCCUGAAGCUCAGGCCCAUCACGUCCAGGUCAUCACUACCGUAACGGAAGGCACAUGCCAGCUGCACAAAUACUGUCAACACAAAAAAAUCAGCUUUACAACACCAUCUGUGAAGUGACAGACAAUGUUAUAUUCAUCAUCCACACACAUACACACACAAACACACACUGAGGAAGGAACGUAC